This 327-nucleotide ribosomal RNA is filed under the name Triticum aestivum (bread wheat). RNAcentral describes it as "partial small subunit ribosomal RNA". The record is from RNAcentral. Lineage: Eukaryota; Viridiplantae; Streptophyta; Magnoliopsida; Poales; Poaceae.
AUGCCCAGCUGGCUGCUAAAAAAGAAAAAAAGAAAAAGAGAAAAAAAUAGCGGGGGCCGGCUGCCCGCGCGGAGCCUGCAAGAAAAGUCAGUGGCCGGGUGUUUAAACAGAAAGAAGAAGAAAAAUAGUCCGGCUGCUCGCGUGAUCCAUCCGGCUGUUAAAAAGAAAAUCGUCCGGCUGCAGACGAGAAAUGAAGCAGAAGAAGAAGUGUCCGUCCGGCUGCUCACAGUCGGGCAAAGAGAAAAAGAAAAAUGUCCGUCCGUCCGUCUGCUUCGCCACUCGGACGACAAGACGCAACCCGGCCUGCCGGCCCGCUUCAACGCCUAG